AGCACUUUAUACUGUGAAACUGCGAAUGGCUCAUUAAAUCAGUUAUCGUUUAUUUGAUAGUACCUUACUACAUGGAUACCUGUGGUAAUUCUAGAGCUAAUACAUGCUGAAAACCUCGACUUCGGAAGGGGUGUAUUUAUUAGAUAAAAAACCAAUGCCCUUCGGGGCUCCUUGGUGAAUCAUAAUAACUUAACGAAUCGCAUGGCCUUGCGCCGGCGAUGGUUCAUUCAAAUUUCUGCCCUAUCAACUUUCGAUGGUAGGAUAGUGGCCUACCAUGGUGGCAACGGGUAACGGGGAAUUAGGGUUCGAUUCCGGAGAGGGAGCCUGAGAAACGGCUACCACAUCCAAGGAAGGCAGCAGGCGCGCAAAUUACCCAAUCCCGACACGGGGAGGUAGUGACAAUAAAUACUGAUACGGGGCUCUUUUGGGUCUCGUAAUUGGAAUGAGUACAAUCUAAAUCCCUUAACGAGGAACAAUUGGAGGGCAAGUCUGGUGCCAGCAGCCGCGGUAAUUCCAGCUCCAAUAGCGUAUAUUAAAGUUGUUGCAGUUAAAAAGCUCGUAGUUGAACCUUGGGUCUGGCUGGCCGGUCCGCCUCACCGCGAGUACUGGUCCGGCUGGACCUUUCCUUCUGGGGAAUCUCAUGGCCUUCACUGGCUGUGGGGGGAACCAGGACUUUUACUGUGAAAAAAUUAGAGUGUUCAAAGCAGGCCUUUGCUCGAAUACAUUAGCAUGGAAUAAUAGAAUAGGACGUGCGGUUCUAUUUUGUUGGUUUCUAGGACCGCCGUAAUGAUUAAUAGGGAUAGUCGGGGGCGUCAGUAUUCAGCUGUCAGAGGUGAAAUUCUUGGAUUUGCUGAAGACUAACUACUGCGAAAGCAUUCGCCAAGGAUGUUUUCAUUAAUCAGGGAACGAAAGUUAGGGGAUCGAAGACGAUCAGAUACCGUCGUAGUCUUAACCAUAAACUAUGCCGACUAGGGAUCGGACGGUGUUUCUAUUAUGACCCGUUCGGCACCUUACGAGAAAUCAAAGUUUUU
Molecule: ribosomal RNA, 1031 nt
Filed under: Aspergillus niger
Lineage: Eukaryota; Fungi; Ascomycota; Eurotiomycetes; Eurotiales; Aspergillaceae
Description: SSU rRNA
Rfam family: Eukaryotic small subunit ribosomal RNA
Source: RNAcentral